AUGGAUUAGAACAUCGAACUAUGAAGACAUCCCCAGUGCAAUACAGUAUUUAGCAGCUUUGCCGUAUAGGUUUGCCAUUUAAAGCUUUGGAGAGGAGAGUAAGGUUAUUAUAAUCACAGUGUAGAACUGCUCAUAUUGUGCUGUCCUUCCCCUGUAUGUUACAAGAAAUGCAACGAGACUGAGGAUGGAAACUGGAAGUAACAUCAGACUUGUUUCAGGAGACCUUUGGCCCCAUUCUCUAAUGCUUGGGCAUUAGAUAGGCAUUUGCGCUUAUGUGGCUGUAAGUAAUGUCCAG
RNAcentral lists this long non-coding RNA (295 nucleotides) under Cairina moschata (Muscovy duck). Its description in RNAcentral is "domestica (muscovy Duck (domestic type)) lncRNA (ENSCMMG00000008425.1)". The record is from RNAcentral. Lineage: Eukaryota; Metazoa; Chordata; Aves; Anseriformes; Anatidae.